CAGUCGCCGCGGUAAUACGAAGGGUGCAAGCGUUAAUCGGAAUUACUGGGUGUAAAGCGUGCGUAGGCGGUGAGUUAAGUCUGCUGUGAAAUCCCCGGGCUCAACCUGGGAAUGGCAGUGGAUACUGGCUCGCUAGAGUGUGUCAGAGGAUGGUGGAAUUCCCGGUGUAGCGGUGAAAUGCGUAGAGAUCGGGAGGAACAUCAGUGGCGAAGGCGGCCAUCUGGGACAACACUGACACUGAGGCACGAAAGCGUGGGGAGCAAACAGGAUUAGAUACCCCUGUAGUCCCUGUCUCUUAUAA
This 301-nucleotide ribosomal RNA is filed under the name uncultured bacterium. RNAcentral's name for it is "partial 16S ribosomal RNA". It matches the Rfam family "Bacterial small subunit ribosomal RNA", at positions 509 to 809 of the family's 1533-position model. The record is from RNAcentral.